RNAcentral lists this ribosomal RNA (399 nucleotides) under uncultured bacterium. Its description in RNAcentral is "bacterial SSU rRNA". It matches the Rfam family "Bacterial small subunit ribosomal RNA", at positions 359 to 775 of the family's 1533-position model. The record is from RNAcentral.
GAAUAUUGGACAAUGGGCGAAAGCCUGAUCCAGCCAUGCCGCGUGAGUGAUGAAGGCCUUAGGGUUGUAAAGCUCUUUCGCCAGGGACGAUAAUGACGGUACCUGGAUAAGAAGCCCCGGCUAACUUCGUGCCAGCAGCCGCGGUAAUACGAAGGGGGCUAGCGUUGUUCGGAAUUACUGGGCGUAAAGCGUAUGCAGGCGGGUCGUUAAGUCAGGGGUGAAAUCCCGAGGCUCAACCUCGGAACUGCCUUUGAUACUGACGAUCUUGAGUCCGGGAGAGGUGAGUGGAACUGCGAGUGUAGAGGUGAAAUUCGUAGAUAUUCGCAAGAACACCAGUGGCGAAGGCGGCUCACUGGCCCGGUACUGACGCUGAGAUACGAAAGCGUGGGGAGCAAACAG